Erythranthe guttata (spotted monkey flower) is the source of this 588-nucleotide non-coding RNA. The record is from RefSeq and is a predicted model, not a curated record. NCBI's taxonomy places the organism in Eukaryota, Viridiplantae, Streptophyta, Magnoliopsida, Lamiales, Phrymaceae.
UAAUAACCUAUCAAACACACAAACAAACGGGGGUUUCAUUAUUUUCCCCCAAAACCGCCGCUCACAUCUUACGACUUCAAUCCCCGGCGAGCAGCUUAACCCCAUGGGUAAGAGAGAUUCACUUCACCGGAGAGAGAAUCUAAUCCACUAAAGAUGGAGAAACCACGGCGACAGAGAAGCAGGGACGAAGAAAAGGGGAUAGAUCUACCCUCUCCUUCAGCGAUGACAGUCGUUUUCUUACCCGAAGUUGCAGGAAAAAAAAUGUAAUAGAGAGGCCUCAGAUGAUCAUCUUCCAUUAAUAGAAGAAGCCAGCAUGAUGUCAGCUGUUAGGGGAGCGGUGUACAACGAAAGGUCUAGAGCGAUGUGAUAUGUAUGAAGCUACAAAUACAUCAUUGAAAUAAGAUCUGUGUCGUUGGUUGUGAUGUAUUGUGCAUUUUUGGGAGCUAUUAAGGUUUAUCUGAGUUAUGUUUGCAAUGACUGUAGAUGUGAACAUUGAAAUAUAUCUGAAGGGAUGUAAUGUUGAUAUUAAGACAUAUUUAUGUGUAAUUAUUUUUGUUGAUAUUGUUAUGAAUGAUUUAUUUUGGAGAU